RNAcentral lists this ribosomal RNA (253 nucleotides) under uncultured bacterium. RNAcentral's name for it is "partial 16S ribosomal RNA". It matches the Rfam family "Bacterial small subunit ribosomal RNA", at positions 524 to 776 of the family's 1533-position model. The record is from RNAcentral.
UACGUAGGGGGCAAGCGUUGUCCGGAAUCAUUGGGCGUAAAGAGCGUGUAGGCGGCUCGAUAAGUCCGCUGUGAAAGUCCAGGGCUCAACCCUGGAAGGCCGGUGGAAACUGUCGGGCUAGAGUCCGGAAGAGGCGAGUGGAAUUCCCGGUGUAGCGGUGAAAUGCGCGGAUAUCGGGAGGAACACCAAUGGCGAAGGCAGCUCGCUGGGACGGUACUGACGCUGAGACGCGAAAGCGUGGGGAGCAAACAGG